AGAAAUUCUUUGCUCAGAGAUUCCUUCAUUGUAACUUCACAUUUUAGAUCUUUUGGUAGAUGAAGAAAUUUCAAUCUCCAAGGGAGUCCCACUCACAAAGUAGAUUAUCCCCUCUUUCCUGCUUUUCAAUAUCUUUGGAGAAAUAUAUACUGUCUGAAUAUAUAAUUCCCUUACAUGAUUCUUUUAUUGAAAUUUACAGUGACUUUUUCAAUUACAGAACGCUACGACGUUUGUAGACAACCUGCAUUGAACAUCCUUAUUCAGAAAUUAUUGAGAAUGUUGAUGACUGGCCAGAUAAUGAGAUGCGAUGUGAAUUCAAAGAUGAUAUUGUAAGAACAACCGAUCAUGUUGAAAAUAUGGAGUUUGUCGAUCAGUGUUGAAGAAGGAAUGGUAUUUCAAAAUGUGACCUCUAAAAUCAAUUGUAGAAAAUGGGCAAUUCUCAGCUGUUUAGUUUGAAGAAGAAGAAGAAGAAAUAUAGUUGUUUACAUUUCCAAUGAAGAAAGCUGCUAACUUGAGACCCACAAAUCCAGAAUAUUCAGAAUUGAAAAUAUCGGUGUUUUAAAAUACUAGCAUUGAAUUUAAGAUUGUAGAAAAUAACUGAUACUGUUACCAUGUGAUUAUUACGAUACCAUGUGGUAAAAGUCUCAGAAUUCAAAAACACUUAACAAUUUUCAGCCCCACUGCACACUAAACACGUUUUUGGUCACUGAAAAGCCCAGAACAGUAGUAGAACAGCAUGGAAGUGGAAAAUUACAUGUUGGUCCUUAAAUUAAAUCCCAACAUUUACAAGUAGGUGACCAAUAAGAAGGGUUGCCCGGAGGCCGGAGGGGAUGGGAAAAUAAGAGGGGGGCUCAUCGAUGUUGAAGCGUCG
This 871-nucleotide long non-coding RNA is filed under the name Zostera marina. Its description in RNAcentral is "long non-coding RNA (ZMAR_LNC000137)". The record is from RNAcentral. Lineage: Eukaryota; Viridiplantae; Streptophyta; Magnoliopsida; Alismatales; Zosteraceae.